Long non-coding RNA from Haplochromis burtoni (Burton's mouthbrooder), 5606 nucleotides. RefSeq lists it as uncharacterized. Lineage: Eukaryota; Metazoa; Chordata; Actinopteri; Cichliformes; Cichlidae. The transcript is spliced from 3 exons. The record is from RefSeq and is a predicted model, not a curated record.
CACAUCACUACAGAACGCAGUCUUCAGAGAUCUCUACGUGAACACUGUGAUACAUCUGACCUUCAGUCCGAAGCAGAAACCCAAACCAGUCUUAAAUGAAAGCACAAGUGAAACUUCUUUUACUCACAAACAUAUCUUUGAUUGUUAAGAAUUUAUGAUCUUGGUGGUGCUUGCAUACUGCAAUAUCACCACAUAAUAUAGUCCAAAAGGUGGAAGUUUGUAAACUUUUUAAAAAAUGCAAAGCCGUGUACACUUGUGCACUUCAAAAAUUCCUUGUAUACUAUACCUUCUUGCACGUCUCUGUUUCCUGUGUUGUUAGAAAUCAAACUGUAAUUUUAGGAAAAAUUAUGCCAAAAGCACAUUUACAAUUACUUAAGACCGCUUUUAAUUUCAUUUCUUUAGACCAAAUCCCCUGUACACAUAUACGGACUCCGAGGAUGAGCAGCCUACAAAAAAACGGUUUCCCCAGGCCCCUCGAGUGAAAAUACCAGCCCUCACCACUCCGCAGUCUGCCCCCCGCCCACUGAUAGCAACCAUCAUAAUGCCCCACCCAGCUGCCAGCACCUUUCGCCACUCCGGCACAACACACAAACUGACACAGCUUUGCGAUCUCCCCAGCAUGCAGAGUCUGAUGUCGAUGUCUUCCCUAUAGAUGAUUCCAGAGACUCUGUGAGGCCACUAUUACAAGGCAAGUUUGAAAAUCUUGGAAUUUCACAGUUUACAUGGUAUAACAAAUAUACGUGACAGGCAAAAACUAGUAAACACUUUUAGCAGUUACAAGAAAUAACAAAUGAAUAUCCAACAAAAGGGAAUAGAAAUACAUUGUACUGCAAAUACUUUGGUUUAUUCUUUGUAUGACUUGAAAAUCAGGCUUUAGGGAAAACUAAAUGACAUGUUUCUAUCAUCAAUUGCAUGAAGUAAACACACAAGCACUUGCAUACACAUUUAAGACACCUCCUGGGUGAGGUGCUCCGGGCAUGUCCCACCGGGAGGAGACACGCUGAAGAGAUUAUGUCUUGGCUGGCCUGGGAACGCCUUGGUGUUCCCCUGGACAAGCUAGAGGAGGUGACCAGGGAGAGGGAGGUCUGAGCUUCUCUGCUUGGGCUGCUGCUGCCGCGACCCGGCACCGGGUAAGUGGAAGAAGAUGGAUGAAUGGAAGUGAAUAUAACUAAACUGACUGCUUACUUGCAGGUUGAAAGAGAUGAGCUCUGAGAAGAGGUGAUGUGAAUCCGUGUUAGCAGAAUGGUACAAUAGGGCUGACCUGAGUUCCAAAGGUUCGAGGAGUGGUGGUGACAGGAGGGGAGGCAGAUGAAGCAGUGAGAGAUUUCCAAACGAGACAGUGAAUUAUCCAGGAGUCUGGAAGGUGGGCUAGAGCCAGAGUGAUGAGCCGAGGGGAUUUCCAGGUAAGUCUUAAGUCUUCCACGCCUGAUUGCCUCCAAACCAGCUCCAGGUGUGGAAAGCUGGUGAGGGGAAUCUAAACCGAAUUACAGUUGACAAAAAAGCUGCCAUUAUGUCUUAUAAAUGUGUUCACUCACUACCUGUAAAAAGUACAGCGAUGUUCUGGCAAAAACAGCUACCAGUACUUUACAGUUUUAUUUAUUUUACAAUAUUUUAGUAUUUUAUAAUUCAACAAAUUUUUACAGUGUGUUGAGAUGGAUGACUGACAGACUAUGAUUAUAAGAAUUAUAAAUAUACCUAAAUAUAAGUGCUUUCAAAGUGCUUUUUGAAAUGUGUGUAUGUCUGUAUGAACGAUGCUUGUAGUACGAAAGUCUUGCUCAGGUGCUCAGGUCGAGCAGAACAGCACUUUGAAUGUACCUGUCAAGUUCAGUCCUGACUGAGGACACCUCUGUGUUUGCCAUAGAAAGACUGAAUACUUUUUGGGGAAAUGCAAUAAUUACUGUGUGUUUUAGAGCAUUUUUACCUCCAUGUGGAAGAAUUUUUCUCACAUUGAAAAGUAACUCAAUGAGUCACUGAAGCAAAGGAUUUCAAUAAGCCAAGAUGAGGCUCUCAGAAAAUAUCAAGAUAAUGAGAAAUUUAAAUAAGAGAGAAGACUGUAAGAAUGUGAGGGAGCAGAAGAGAAUCACAUUUCCAUUAACACCAAGGUCAUUUAUCCAGCCCCACUCCUCAGCUGCAUUCAGAGGGAAACAGCAAAUCUCAUUUUCUGUGGUUCUCAUAAGUGGCGGAUCAACCACACUCACUUAUCAUUCUCUUAUGUGCUGUCUGCUCUGUUUUUCAUUCUUCUCUGCUUUGUUUUUACUAGUUGCAAUGGUCAUUGGCGGGGAGUUAAUUAGGACACCAGAAGCUGUUGAGCUUUUUCAUGCAGUUGUAGUCUUAUACAAAUAAUCCAGUCAGCCCUCUAGUCAUGUAUAUAUCCAAGUAUCCAACUUGCACAUGCUGUUUAUUAUAUGUGAAUGAAAUGUUUAAAAAAUAACUACCGAUUUACUGUAAUUAAAACCUGCCAAUGUAGCGAUUUUCAUCAAAACCAAAAGGCAAUGUAUGCUAUGGUUUUCAGAAUGAUCAGUGUGGGUGGCCAUUGUUUUUCUGAAAUAAGCCACAUCUUUGCUUAAAAAACAUUUUUUUGGGUUGGCAUCUAUCAUUAAGCAUGAUACACACACACACCCAGUAACACAGGAUAGUCCUGUGCAGUUGUAUUGUGAGUCACACCUCACAUGGACGUAUAGCACAUAGCACCUUCAUUUUUAAACACACAUUGUGAAAGCUUUAGGGUUUAAAACAAUGAUCAUCUCAGUGAAAUCCAUUCUGUAUGUGUUUGGACCUGUUGUUGUGGUUGUUGUUGAGACUGAGACCUGACAUUUUUUCUUCUGAGACUGAGACCUGACAACUUUUUUCCUGAGACCUGACGAUGUCCUAAAAUGUACACCGUACUCUGGUCUCAGUCCGCCUGCACCCACCCCUGGCCCUGGUCACUUGGUCGUUUUAGUGUUGAUAAUGUUCACGUCUCGGAUAGCCUCGGUUAGGGCAAUUCCGCUUCCAGUGUCCAUGCUUACCACAGGAAAAGCAGGCACCUGGGUCUCCUCCCCGCUGUUGUCGUUGUUGAUCGUGUCUUCGAUCACGUCUUCCUCCCCAGCCUCGGUAGCGCCAGCUGCCUUUACAGUGGAAGCCACCCCACGGGUUCACUGCAGCCUUGUACAGCGUUAAGGCUGCGUUGUGGAGGUCGGCGCUCUGUUUUUCCUCUUUCUUGCUUUUCCUUUCGUCAAGGUGGUUCUGAGCAUGGCGGGCAUGGCGUCGUAGUUCCGUUAGCCAAGGUUCAUUUUCCCUCCCCACUUGCAAACACCUUACUUUGGCUGCCACAUCUGAUCUUAGCCCCCGUAAAAUAUGGCCGCAGAGAUGGUGCUCACAUGUGGAGGCGGUGACGCCUGUCAUGUCGUCCUUCGGUAUUCCACCAUUAGCUUCAAAUACAUUUAUCAUACGAUGUAUGAAAUAAUCCACAGAUUCGUCCUGGGUUUGCUUGUAAGUCUGACAAUAUCCAUAGUUUUCUUCAUGCUCGUAGGUCAGGUGUCUUACCCCGAGCGUAGGGUCAGGCAAAUGUGGUGAUAUUUUCCUCACGUUACAUGGUUCCAGCUUGCCUGCUGCUGCGCCUCCAAUUUCUUGACCCGUGGGACAAUACUCAGGCUGAUCUGUGGCAAAGGGCAGGACGUAAUAUCCAUUAGCCCGUGGCGCGCUCCAUGUGUGGCUAAGUGCUUGGAGGGCCCCUCUCGGCCCUCUGCCCGGUUUGAGUGUCACUUCUAACGCUUCCUCUUGGCGGAGCUGCCACUCUCCAGCCGCUGAACUGGCGCUGCCGUCUAUUGGCGGUGUGUCGUGUGGUGCAGAGCAGGAUCGGGAGGGAAAGGAGUCCAGGUCGGCAUCGGCUUUCAGGCCCUGCAAAACAGCCUGUACUAGGGCACAAGGAGAAGCACAAACAGUGCGUGAACAGGGAAAUGAUGUUUUGUUCUCCAUGUUAUACAGAGGCGGAAGAGGCGCUGAGGCAGAUUCUGCAUCAGCCUCCCUUCCAUGCACUUCUCUAGGCAACUCUUUCAGGGCUGCUUUCUUUUCCCUCCUUUCUGCUUCCAUCAUCCACAUUUUCAAACAUUCCUUCUCAUCGCUUACCCUACGCAAAUCUACAGUGUUAACUUUCCCUUUCUUCAAUAAUUUUGCUUCCUCCUUCCGCAACUGUUUCAGAGAGGUACAGUUACACGUGUUAUUGUCUAAAACUUUAUAAGUCAACAGCUCAUUUGUUCUAGCUAAUGAGGUGUAAUAUUCAUGUCGCAGAAGAGUUUUUAUUUCUUUGUAAAAAGGUAUUUUAAGUUCACUAGCUUCAGGUCCCUUUUCAGAAAAGAAUUAUACAGUAAGAAUUAUACAAAAAGGCUUUUUUCAGAGAACACAGAAUGGGUUAACAACCCAGCAGUGGAGGAUGAUCAAGACUUGAAAGCUGGUGCUACUAAUUCCUACAGCUGUUCCAAUUUUUCUGGAUUUCUUCCCCCUCUGUCUGCAUAAAAGCAGUGUUGGAACACACUGUGGUACCAUACCCUUGUGAGCAUCAGUUGAACAGUAUUGUACUGCAGAAAGUAGAGUGUUGCUAUAAAAAUGGCAAGAAAAAGGGCAAUUGACAAUGGAAGAGAGACAGACCAUCAUAAGACGUAUAAAUGUAGGUCUGUGCUACCGAGAGACUGCAAAGAAAGUUAAGGUGUCAGUGAGGACAGUUUCCUUCAAAGGCUCAGAAACAAACUGACAGGAAGAGGUCUGCAGACCCAAAGACACGACUGAACUGGAGUUUCUGAGAGUUAACAGGCGGCUCACAGGACAACAGCUUCAAGCAGCUUCAUAGUGGUCGUAGUGAGCAAGUCUCAGUUUCAGCUGUGAGGAGAAACUUCGAGCUGCAGGUUUGACAGGAUGCAGCAAGAAAGCCAGACGUCAGAAUAAGACAAAGAGGCUUGUCUGGACAUUGAAACACCACCACUGGACUACUGAAGACUGGAAGAAGGUUUUAUGGAUGAUGGGUCAACAUUUGAAAUCUUUGGUUCAUCACGGAGGAUCUUUGUACGCCGUGGAGUAGGUGAAAGGUUGGUUCCACAGUGUGUGGCAUCAACUGUCAAAUGCUGAGAGGAAAUGUCUUUCAGUUGACAGUGGAUUAUAACCCUGCAUCACAAAAAGUGGAAAAAGAUGUAUAAAAUGUACACAAAAGCAGAAUUUUAAAAUGUACAAUCAUGAAAAAACUGCAAUUAAUGUCAAUAUUUUGCUUUAAUAUCUUUUUAAAAUUAUAAAUAUAUGCUUAGACUGAAUUUGACGGUAGACACAUGUUUCUUGCAAACACACUGUCAUAAACCUAACCUGACACAUUCACCCUGUGAAAGGAGACCCACAUAAACAACUGAGCACUAAGGACUAUACCCCAGUGUUGCCAGUGCUGCUGACUGGAAACAAGCCAUGCCUCCUUUCCAGUACCUACAUAAAGGAAGUUGGGGGGGGGAGAGCCGCCAAGACAAAAGUCAACCUUCACUCAGGCAACAUGGUGUCAUGGUCCUGAGUCGAGCGACCCAGUGUUUUAAGUUUUAUGUAUCUUUUGUAUUCAUUUGUGACUAGCUUAGUUCACCUAGUUAAUUUCUAGA